Molecule: ribosomal RNA, 1023 nt
Filed under: uncultured bacterium
Lineage: Bacteria
Description: bacterial SSU rRNA
Rfam family: Bacterial small subunit ribosomal RNA
Source: RNAcentral
AGAGUUUGAUCAUGGCUCAGAAUCAACGCUGGCGGCGUGCCUAACACAUGCAAGUCGAACGAGAAAGGGGAGCAAUCCCUGAGUAAAGUGGCGACCGGGUGAGUAACACGUGACUAACCUACCCUCGAGUGUGGAAUAACAUCGGGAAACCGAUGCUAAUACCGCAUAACAUCGCAAGAUCAAAGGAGCAAUCCGCUUGAGGAGGGGGUCGCGGCUGAUUAGCUAGUUGGCGGGGUAACGGCCCACCAAGGCGAAGAUCGGUAUCCGGCCUGAGAGGGCGCACGGACACACUGGAACUGAAACACGGUCCAGACUCCUACGGGAGGCAGCAGUGGGGAAUUUUGCGCAAUGGGGGAAACCCUGACGCAGCAACGCCGCGUGGAGGAUGAAGCCCCUUGGGGCGUAAACUCCUUUCGACCAAGACGAUAAUGACGGUACUGGUGGAAGAAGCACCGGCUAACUCUGUGCCAGCAGCCGCGGUAAUACAGAGGGUGCAAGCGUUGUUCGGAAUUAUUGGGCGUAAAGGGUGCGUAGGCGGCGCGGUAAGUCACCUGUGAAAUCCCCGGGCUUAACUCGGGGCCUGCAGGCGAAACUGCCGUGCUGGAGUAUGGGAGAGGUGCGUGGAAUUCCCGGUGUAGCGGUGAAAUGCGUAGAUAUCGGGAGGAACACCUGUGGCGAAAGCGGCGCACUGGACCAUAACUGACGCUGAUGCACGAAAGCUAGGGGAGCAAACAGGAUUAGAUACCCUGGUAGUCCUAGCCCUAAACGAUGAUUGCUUGGUGUGGUGGGUACCCAAUCCCACUGUGCCGCAGCUAACGCGAUAAGCAAUCCGCCUGGGGAGUACGGUCGCAAGGCUGAAACUCAAGGAAUUGACGGGGGCCCGCACAAGCGGUGGAGCAUGUGGUUCAUUCGACGCAACGCGAAGAACCUUACCUGGGCUCGAAAUGUAGUGGAUAGGUGGAAACAUCCUAGUCUCGCAGAGACUGCUAUUAUAGGUGGCUGCAUGGCUGUCGUCAGCUCGUG